This 497-nucleotide ribosomal RNA is filed under the name uncultured bacterium. Its description in RNAcentral is "partial 16S ribosomal RNA". It matches the Rfam family "Bacterial small subunit ribosomal RNA", at positions 28 to 507 of the family's 1533-position model. The record is from RNAcentral.
GAUGAACGCUGGCGGCGUGCCUAAUACAUGCAAGUCGAGCGAACAGACGAGGAGCUUGCUCCUUUGACGUUAGCGGCGGACGGGUGAGUAACACGUGGGUAACCUACCUAUAAGACUGGGAUAACUUCGGGAAACCGGAGCUAAUACCGGAUAACAUUUUGAACCGCAUGGUUCAAUAGUGAAAGAUGGCUUUGCUGUCACUUAUAGAUGGACCCGCGCCGUAUUAGCUAGUUGGUAAGGUAACGGCUUACCAAGGCAACGAUACGUAGCCGACCUGAGAGGGUGAUCGGCCACACUGGAACUGAGACACGGUCCAGACUCCUACGGGAGGCAGCAGUAGGGAAUCUUCCGCAAUGGGCGAAAGCCUGACGGAGCAACGCCGCGUGAGUGAAGAAGGUCUUCGGAUCGUAAAACUCUGUUAUUAGGGAAGAACAAAUGUGUAAGUAACUAUGCACGUCUUGACGGUACCUAAUCAGAAAGCCACGGCUAACUACGUG